This 1155-nucleotide long non-coding RNA is filed under the name Zonotrichia albicollis (white-throated sparrow). RNAcentral describes it as "lncRNA (ENSZALG00000003594.1)". Lineage: Eukaryota; Metazoa; Chordata; Aves; Passeriformes; Passerellidae. The record is from RNAcentral.
UUCUUCUUCAUGUCAUCUUCCAUCCCAGCUGUCUCUAAAAUGCUUUGCUUGGAGGUUGAAUGUGAAGCAAGCCCGUCACUUCUCCUGGCUCCAGCUUCCUCAUCAACCAAGGACAGGCUGACACUCAGUGUACUCAGCUUGAUGGGGCUUGAGUCCUUCUGUCCUCAUAAGCUGAAGAAAUUGGACAGAAACACCAAGUUUCUGGAAGCUCCUGACACUCUGAAGAUGAGAUCUGGUCGCUGUCUGAUGGGUGGAAACACGUGGCAACAUCUCCUGAGUGAUAGCUGCAGUGGAGGUGGCUGUAGAGCUGUGAUCAGGACAGUGACAACCCUGCUGCCCUGCUGAUUUGAGAAUAUCUGGUUUUGAGAAGCAUAUUCCCCCUGAAGAUGGUGGGACUAAAAAAGGCAAGAUAUAUUUGUAUGUGUGUCCUCCAGCGGUAUUUGACAUCUCUCUAUCAUAUCACAUAGUGGCAUCAGUGGUCCUCAUGGUAUUGACAGUAUGGUUGAAGUCUUUACUGCACAUGAAUCCAAAGUUUAAAUGGUUAGGAAUUGAUCCACCUCUCUUAUCCCUUACCCCAUAUUAAAAAAAAUUCCCCUUUUCGCUUCUUUCUCUUUCUUCUACAUGUCUCAGACAAACAACAGUGAUGCUGGAAAUAGUACAAAAAGUUAAUAAUUGUGAAGUAUAAAUAUUGCAUUUUAAAAGUUUCAUAAAGCUACCAAGCAAUUCUGGUGGCUUUUUAGGUUUUAUGUACAUCAUAUAUAGCAGAAGAAAAUGCAUAACUUGAUCAUAAAGAAAAAAAAUAUUUAUUUUAAAAGAAUCCAAUAUGGGCAAUAUAUUGGAUAGCAAUAUGCAAUGUCAGCACCUCAUUUUCCAUUUUCUCUGUGGAAAAAGGAAAAAGUUAUAAAGAUCCAAAUACCAAAAGAUGCUGCUUCUUCCUGGAAAUGCCCUUGAAUAUUACUUUUGGGAGAAGAUGCCAUAUAUGGAAUUUGCUCUUCACUUCUCAGGAUUUUCCUAAUGUUUCACAGCUUGAAAAUUAUAUUGCUUCUGAUAAAGUCUGUAAGGCCUAGUUGAGGUUUGCCCUGAUGGGGCAGGAAAUGGACAUUCCCCAUAAACAAAAAAUCAAAAUUAACCAGAAUAAAAGGUUUAUUAUUUCCA